AUGAACUUACAUAUGCAAGCUGAAAUGCUGGUGAUCGUGAAGAACAGUCCUGUGAAUGGCAUCAUCAAGCUCAUCGAACAGCAUCACAUCACAAACCAUGUCACGGGAACAUCUUCCUUCUCACCGUGUGUCCAGACCAAAUACAGCUUCGUAACAAGCAGGGCAACUUCUUAG
RNAcentral lists this ribosomal RNA (174 nucleotides) under Triticum aestivum (bread wheat). RNAcentral describes it as "partial small subunit ribosomal RNA". The record is from RNAcentral. Lineage: Eukaryota; Viridiplantae; Streptophyta; Magnoliopsida; Poales; Poaceae.